Molecule: ribosomal RNA, 388 nt
Filed under: uncultured bacterium
Lineage: Bacteria
Description: bacterial SSU rRNA
Rfam family: Bacterial small subunit ribosomal RNA
Source: RNAcentral
AUUGAACGCUGGCGGCAUGCCUUACACAUGCAAGUCGAACGGCAGCACGGGAGCUUGCUCCUGGUGGCGAGUGGCGAACGGGUGAGUAAUACAUCGGAACGUACCCUGAAGUGGGGGAUAACGUAGCGAAAGUUACGCUAAUACCGCAUAUUCUGUGAGCAGGAAAGAGGGGGAUCGCAAGACCUCUUGCUUUAGGAACGGCCGAUGUCGGAUUAGCUAGUUGGUGAGGUAAAGGCUCACCAAGGCGACGAUCCGUAGCGGGUCUGAGAGGAUGAUCCGCCACACUGGGACUGAGACACGGCCCAGACUCCUACGGAGGCAGCAGUGGGGAAUUUUGGACAAUGGGCGCAAGCCUGAUCCAGCCAUGCCGCGUGAGUGAAGAAGGCCU